UACUCGCUUGGUGAAAUUUGGUAAACACGAUGGAUUUAAAAUUCAUUCUUUAUAAGUUAUUGGUUCGAGUCCGAUAGUGAGUAU
RNAcentral lists this transfer RNA (84 nucleotides) under Herposiphonia versicolor. RNAcentral describes it as "tRNA-Leu". It matches the Rfam family "tRNA". Rfam says of the family: Transfer RNA (tRNA) molecules are approximately 80 nucleotides in length. Lineage: Eukaryota; Rhodophyta; Florideophyceae; Ceramiales; Rhodomelaceae. The record is from RNAcentral.